This 259-nucleotide unclassified non-coding RNA is filed under the name Clostridioides difficile. RNAcentral's name for it is "16S-23S ribosomal RNA intergenic spacer (ISR)". The record is from RNAcentral. Lineage: Bacteria; Bacillati; Bacillota; Clostridia; Peptostreptococcales; Peptostreptococcaceae.
ACCUACUGUUUAAUUUUGAGGGUUCGUUUUUACGAAUGCUCAAAAUUAGCACUUUAAGCAACGGGAUUUAUCCGUUGGCGCUGUGCGUUAGCACUUUAAGCAACGGAAUUUAUUCGUUGGCGCUGUGCGUUAGCACUUUGAAAACUGCAUAUAUAUAUUUAGUGAUAUGACAUCUAAUUUGUAAUAUAUAAAGCUGAUAACUUUUUAAAAUUAUCGAAGUUGAUAGCUUCUAAUCUAUCAAACCUUUUUAACUGGUCAA